UGACCUCAGAUCAGAUAAGGAUACCCGCUGAACUUAAGCAUAUCAAUAAGCGGAGGAAAAGAAACCAACAGGGAUUGCCUCAGUAACGGCGAGUGAAGCGGCAACAGCUCAAAUUUGAAAUCUGGAGCCUUCGGCUUCCGAGUUGUAAUUUGAAGAGGAUGUUUCGGUGCGACCUGGGCCUAAGUUCCUUGGAACAGGACGUCAUGGAGGGUGAGAAUCCCGUACAUGGCUGCAGGUUUGCUUCUAUGUGAAACUCCUUCGAAGAGUCGAGUUGUUUGGGAAUGCAGCUCAAAAUGGGUGGUAAAUUUCAUCUAAAGCUAAAUAUUGGCGGGAGACCGAUAGCGCACAAGUAGAGUGAUCGAAAGAUGAAAAGCACUUUGAAAAGAGAGUUAAACAGUACGUGAAAUUGUUGAAAGGGAAGCGCUUGCAAUCAGACUCGCCUUCAGUUGAUCAACCUUCCUUCUGGUUGGUGCACUCUGCUGUUGGCGGGCCAGCAUCAGUUGGGGCGGUGGGACAAAGGCAGUGGGAAUGUGGCUCACUUCGGUGAGUGUUAUAGCCCAUUGUGUCAUGCCACCAGUCCCGACUGAGGUCCGCGGUUCGCCUAGGAUGCUGGCUUA
RNAcentral lists this ribosomal RNA (617 nucleotides) under Arthrobotrys ellipsospora. RNAcentral's name for it is "eukaryotic LSU rRNA". It matches the Rfam family "Eukaryotic large subunit ribosomal RNA", at positions 1 to 633 of the family's 3401-position model. Lineage: Eukaryota; Fungi; Ascomycota; Orbiliomycetes; Orbiliales; Orbiliaceae. The record is from RNAcentral.